UUACACAUGCAAGUCGAACGGCAGCACGGGGGCAACCCUGGUGGCGAGUGGCGAACGGGUGAGUAAUAUAUCGGAACGUACCCAGUAGUGGGGGAUAGCUCGGCGAAAGCCGGAUUAAUACCGCAUACGCACUGAGGUGGAAAGCGGGGGAUCGCAAGACCUCGCGCUAGUGGAGCGGCCGAUAUCUGAUUAGCUAGUUGGUGGGGUAAAAGCCUACCAAGGCGACGAUCAGUAGCUGGUCUGAGAGGACGACCAGCCACACUGGAACUGAGACACGGUCCAGACUCCUACGGGAGGCAGCAGUGGGGAAUUUUGGACAAUGGGGGCAACCCUGAUCCAGCAAUGCCGCGUGAGUGAAGAAGGCCUUCGGGUUGUAAAGCUCUUUUGUCUGGGAAGAAAUCCCCUGGGAUAAUACCUCGGGGGGAUGACGGUACCGGAAGAAUAAGCACCGGCUAACUACGUGCCAGCAGCCGCGGUAAUACGUAGGGUGCAAGCGUUAAUCGGAAUUACUGGGCGUAAAGCGUGCGCAGGCGGUUGUGCAAGACAGAUGUGAAAUCCCCGGGCUUAACCUGGGAACUGCAUUUGUGACUGCACGGCUAGAGUGUGUCAGAGGGGGGUAGAAUUCCACGUGUAGCAGUGAAAUGCGUAGAGAUGUGGAGGAAUACCGAUGGCGAAGGCAGCCCCCUGGGAUAACACUGACGCUCAUGCACGAAAGCGUGGGGAGCAAACAGGAUUAGAUACCCUGGUAGUCCACGCCCUAAACGAUGUCUACUAGUUGUCGGGUCUUAAUUGACUUGGUAACGCAGCUAACGCGUGAAGUAGACCGCCUGGGGAGUACGGUCGCAAGAUUAAAACUCAAAGGAAUUGACGGGGACCCGCACAAGCGGUGGAUGAUGUGGAUUAAUUCGAUGCAACGCGAAAAACCUUACCUACCCUUGACA
RNAcentral lists this ribosomal RNA (941 nucleotides) under uncultured bacterium. Its description in RNAcentral is "bacterial SSU rRNA". It matches the Rfam family "Bacterial small subunit ribosomal RNA", at positions 49 to 986 of the family's 1533-position model. The record is from RNAcentral.